Salvia splendens (bonfire salvia) is the source of this 697-nucleotide long non-coding RNA. RefSeq lists it as uncharacterized. The record is from RefSeq and is a predicted model, not a curated record. The transcript is spliced from 4 exons. Lineage: Eukaryota; Viridiplantae; Streptophyta; Magnoliopsida; Lamiales; Lamiaceae.
GAUGUGGCAGGAGGAGUUUGUGGCUAGGCUAUGGCUGGGCUAUUGCUGGGCUAUAACCACUGUGGAUGCUCUAACCGACGUUGGAAAAACCGUGUUCCCCAAAUCUCUCCAUGAAUCUCUCCCAAUUUUAAACCAUCAAUCAGCUGCCAUCUCUCUAUAAUGCUCCUUGAGCAAAUCAAACUCAUAGAAAGAAAAAAAUUGAACAGAGGAGAGGCAGAAAGUUGGAUCGACUGCUCCCAAGCCACACACUUUUCAAUCCAUUGCUAGUCUCCAUUACUAAUCUGACCAGAGAAACCGAGGGAAAGGAAGAUAAAAGCCACAACCUCUUUUGUUUACAGCUACUCGUCCCAAAUUGUUGAAGGUGAAUCAUCGCAAGUGAAUCGUGAUACCAAGAGGAAGAAAGUACUUGAGAAUUAAGCAGUCGAGGUUGAGCGGCGACGAGAAUAUGGUGGUGUUGAGCAAGUUAAUUGGAGAAUGAAUUGUCUAUCUUUGAUCUGUGACUAGUGUCAUUGUGUCUUCACACAUAACUUUACUCUUCUCUUGGAUGCUUCCGCUGAAACAUGUUUUACUUAUUGUUUGAUCUUGACACCAUUUUGAGUUCCGUUUAGAAUCUAAAGACAUGAUACAUUUUGGAGUACGUUGAACCCUUGUUAUUUUGAAUACCAAUGAUUAUAAUUAUUUUCUCGUUUGGUCUAUC